This 286-nucleotide unclassified non-coding RNA is filed under the name Hevea brasiliensis (rubber tree). Lineage: Eukaryota; Viridiplantae; Streptophyta; Magnoliopsida; Malpighiales; Euphorbiaceae. The record is from RNAcentral.
GCAUGCAUUAUUCAUACAAGAAUUGGCCAAUUUAUUGAUAGAGAUGAGAUUGAAGGCGAGGAUUGAGAAAGCAUUCAAGUGGGGUUGCUCUGAGGUUGGUUAAUCCAAUGCUCUCACUCAUAUCAAGCUGCUCGCUAGUUGGGUUUUCAAUAUCAAACCCCUGUAGCAAUGUAGCAAGAGUUAAUUGCAAAACCUGAAGAGCAAAAGAGACACCAGGGCACAUCCUUCUUCCAUUGCUAAAUGGUAUAAACUCAAAGUUUUGGCCCCUAACAUCAUAAUCUUUGUG